CAAAGUCUUAUCGGUUAACGGUUAAACAGUUAGUCGUAUGCAUCCCUAAUUGUCAGUGACAAAGUAACUUACAGUAACUGGAUGCAGAUCAGUACAGAACAUCGUGGUGGCUUUCAGCAGCUGUCUGCAGACGUCUGUCCCUCUGCUCUGCCCAGUCCUAUUGUGGACGCAACUUUUUUAAAAAUGUGCUCCAUUUCAGAAACCCUCUGCUCCCAUGGUCUGUUCCUGUCUGAUAAAGCAUGAAUGGUCCAAAAAUUAAUUUGGCUCAACAGUGCUAAACAUUUUUCAAACUUUUUCUGUGUUUUGCAGGCUCCAAACCUGUUAUUCACGCCGCCUUAAGAAACUCGAAGCACAUCAUGAGGCGUGUGAGAGGCGCUACGAGAAGGCUCAGACAGAAGACUGAAUGAUGAGAGAGAAAGGACCUUGUUGGAUGGUAGACUCAACACAGUGAUGGAAGAUGAAAUAGAGGUUCCACCCUUAACAAGAACAGACAGUGUAUUUCUGACCAAAGAAAUGCUUGGACACACCGUCGAUUUGUCACCUUCCACUAUCGGCAGUAUGGAUGAGUAUGUCCCAGAAACAUCAGAGGCUAGUUCAGAUGAAUCAUUAGAAGAAAGAAGUCAGAAGCAAAGACCAAAGAUGGCAUCAGAAUCAAAAAAUGGCUCAGAUGUGUUAUUAGGAGCAAAGAAAGAGAAGCAAGGCCUAGAAGCAAGUGCUCAUUCCAGAGAAGAUUCAAAUGAACCGAGACUCAAAACAGGGACAGAAGUAAAGAGGAUCUUUUUUUCUAGUGACGAAGAAGAUUCUGUUAAAUCAAGACUCAAAACAAGAAACAAAACAAGAGACGUUACAAGAGAUGCUCAAGCUCUAGUGAAGAAGAGCAUUCAGGUGAAUCAAGACUCAAAACCAAGAGGUACAAAAAGAGAAAGAAAGAUAUAAAGACUUACACAAGAUGUAAAAAAUCUUCUAUCUCUAGCUCAGUUGAGAAGAGUAGUUCUCUGGUGGUAGCUGAUGUUAUAAAUGUGGAUGGGUGCAAGAAGUACCACCAAAAAGAAAAACUACUGCCUAUACUGUGAGGAAACCGCAAACAAAAAUUGCACGCCACCUGGAACGAAACAUGGGGAUAAAAGGGAAGUUGCUUGUGCAGUAAUGUAUCCACCGAAAUCUAAAAAAAGGAGAAAUCUGCUGGAUCUCCUUCGUAAGCAAGGAAAUAGGGCACACAACAUUGAGGCACUCACAAAGGAGAAGGGACACUGGUAGCUUGUAAACAGCAAAGCGAUGCAAAGAGCAAUCCAAAGGACUAUCAGCAUUGUUUGCAUGCUUUGGGUACUUCAGCGCAAAUAUCUGUGGAAGCAUGCAAACGGUGCACACUUGCUCAAAAUGUUCGCAGAAACAUUACCUGGAAAAAGAAGAAUACAGACACUCUGUGCUUCUGCUCAGCCUGUACCUAAAGAUGUUCACACGAAGGUAUGGGCCCUUGUGAAUGGCAUGACUCAAGACGAAAUUGCCUAUGCAGUAAAAGAAGACGUCUAUAUCAUGAAGGUAGGGAGAGAAGAUGUAUAACCGGCAACGUGAAACAGCUUCUCAACAUGACAAUGUUCGUCAAAUUAUGCGAGGACUGGGUAGACUCUUGAUCAUAGGAAGGACGGUGACCCCUCUGAGAACAAUGGAGGAAUAUAUUAAUCCACAAAACUUUCACCAUGUGAUUCGAGCUGUCAAAGACGUAGCUGGCUUUUGAUGAAAAGAGGAACAAGUUUGGGAAACCCACUCUAGCCACAAAGCUAGGGCAGCAUCCAGAGAGUUGCCGAUAUCAUGGAGGCUGAAGCUCUUUCAUCUCAGACAAUGAAAAGAAGCAGGUUGUCCAAGUUUAGGCGCUUGUACAAUCUACCUGGAAUGAGAUGAUCUCUUCUCGCUGCGUACCGUACACUUGAGGAGAAGAAAUGGAACAAACCCAAGCUCAUUCCAUUGGCAGAGGAUGUGAAAAAAAAUGCAUAUGUACAUGACUGACAACAGAAGCAAUACUACAAGCAGUUGUUGGUUGAGAAAAUCCCAAGAAUUGGAGCAAUCUUGCUAAAGUAAUAUUGGCACAGAUAAUCCUUUUCAACCGAAGGCGAGGAAGGCGAGGUCUCAAAGAUGCGUUUAGACGCAUUCUCACCAGGGACAACUCCCCAUUUAAUGAAGAUAUUGGUGAAGCACUGACGGCAUUGGAGAAGAGGCUCUGCCAGCAUUUUGAACGUGUGAAUUCGAGGGAAGCGUGGCAGAAAGGUGCCUAUCAUCCUUACUCCAGUAAUGGUGAAAUCUCUGGAGCUAAUGGUGGAGGAGAGAAGCUCAUGUGGAAUAGGUGAAACAUCUAUUUAUUUGCAAGACCAGGUUUUGAAACAAGGCUUCGGGGGUCUGACUGCAUCCGUGAGUUGGCCAGAAAGUGUGGGGCCGAAAAACCUGAAGCUCUGUCAUCAACAAACUAAGAAAACAAGUGGCCACUCUAUCAAGAGUACUCAAUCUGAAUGACACCGAACAAGAUCUUUUGGCAGACUUUCUGGGCAUGACAUAAGGGUACACAGGAAGUUCUAUCGCCUCCCCGAAGGGACUUUGCAGUUAGCUAAGAUCAGUAAGGUAUUGAUGGCCUGUGAACAGGGCAGACUGGCAGAAUUCAAGGGGAAAAGUCUGGACCAAAUCUCGAUCAGCCCAAACGACCCAUCUGAAGUUGUGGAGAAAAGCUCAGGGGAGUCAUCUGAAGAUGCAGCUCCAACUGCUCCGCCAGGAGACGAACCUGUGACUCGAGGCGAACAGGGCACUUCAGUGCAGGAGCUUGUAGGGGAACAAAGCUCAGGAGGUAAGCGUGGUACAGCUUUUACUUUUCCCACCAAAUUAUGUACAUUUGUGUCAGCAACUCAGAGCUGUUCCUAUACACUGUAUAUUUCUUCUUCUUCUUUUCCUUUCGGCUCUUCCCUUCAGGGGUCGCCACAGCGAAUCAAUUCCCUCCAUCUAACCCUGUCUGCUGCCUCCUCUUCUCUCACACCAACUACCUUCAUGUCCUCUUUAACCACAUCCAUAAACCUCCUCUUUGGUCUUCCUCUAGGCCUCCUGCCUGGCAGUGGGAAACUCAGCAUCCUUCUACCAAUAUAUUCACUCUCUCU
Molecule: long non-coding RNA, 3134 nt
Organism: Acanthochromis polyacanthus (spiny chromis)
Lineage: Eukaryota; Metazoa; Chordata; Actinopteri; Pomacentridae
Exons: 5
Source: RefSeq, a predicted model, not a curated record